GAUGAAGAACGCAGCGAAAUGCGAUAAGUAGUGUGAAUUGCAGAAUUCAGUGGAUCAUCGAAUCUUUGAACGCACAUUGCGCCCUUUGGUAUUCCUUAGGGCAUGCCUGUUCGAGCGUCAUUUAAACCUUCAAGCUCAGCUUGGUGUUGGGUGACUGUCCGCUUCACCGCGGACUCGCCUCAAAAUUAUUGGCGGCCGGUACAUUGGCUUCGAGCGCAGCAGAAACGCGAACUCGGGCCCGUCGUAUUGGCUCCCAGAAGCUAUCUUCACAAUUUUGACCUCGGAUCAGGUAGGGAUACCCGCUGAACUUAAGCAUAUCAAUAAGCGGAGGA
RNAcentral lists this unclassified non-coding RNA (332 nucleotides) under soil metagenome. RNAcentral describes it as "partial contains 5.8S ribosomal RNA, internal transcribed spacer 2, and large subunit ribosomal RNA". The stretch from base 1 to 120 matches the Rfam family "5.8S ribosomal RNA", at positions 35 to 154 of the family's 154-position model. The record is from RNAcentral.